Ictidomys tridecemlineatus (thirteen-lined ground squirrel) is the source of this 178-nucleotide unclassified non-coding RNA. NCBI's taxonomy places the organism in Eukaryota, Metazoa, Chordata, Mammalia, Rodentia, Sciuridae. The record is from Ensembl.
UUCCGUGGGCGGAGGAGUCCCCAGAUAGCUCAGGUCGGGGCGUCGGGGCAUUGAGCUCCCACAGCGUCAGGCAGGUCACCGAGGCUGCGCGGACUUGGGGAGCUAGCUUGGUGCGAGGCAAGUCUUUCCCAGGCCCGCAGCCCAGAAUCCUACCCCAGGCCUAGAACGCUCGAGGCAG